Molecule: ribosomal RNA, 683 nt
Filed under: uncultured Clostridium sp.
Lineage: Bacteria; Bacillati; Bacillota; Clostridia; Eubacteriales; Clostridiaceae
Description: bacterial SSU rRNA
Rfam family: Bacterial small subunit ribosomal RNA
Source: RNAcentral
CCUUCGGGGGAUAUAAGAGACAGACAGUGGCGAACGGGUGAGUAACGCGUGGGCAACCUACCUAUCGGAGCGGGAUAGCCUCGGGAAAUCGGGAGUAAAACCGCAUAACACGGAUAUAUCGCAUGAUGAAUCCGUCAAAACUCCGGUGCCGAUAGAUGGGCCCGCGUCUGAUUAGCUAGUUGGUAAGGUAAGGGCUUACCAAGGCAACGAUCAGUAGCCGGUCUGAGAGGGCGAACGGCCACACUGGAACUGAGACACGGUCCAGACUCCUACGGGAGGCAGCAGUGGGGAAUAUUGCGCAAUGGGGGCAACCCUGACGCAGCAAUACCGCGUGAGUGAAGAAGGUUUUCGGAUCGUAAAGCUCUGUUAUUGGGGAAGAAGCAGUGACGGUACCCAAUGAGGAAGUCCCGGCUAACUACGUGCCAGCAGCCGCGGUAAUACGUAGGGGACGAGCGUUGUCCGGAAUCACUGGGCGUAAAGGGCGCGUAGGCGGUUUUAUAAGUCAGAUGUGAAAGGUACCGGCUCAACCGGUGACGUGCAUUUGAAACUGUAAGACUUGAGUACUGAAGAGGCAAGCGGAAUUCCUAGUGUAGCGGUGAAAUGCGUAGAUAUUAGGAAGAACACCGGUGGCGAAGGCGGCUUGCUGGGCAGAUUCUGACCCUGAGGUGCGAAAGCGUGGGGAG